AUUGAACGCUGGCGGCAGGCCUAACACAUGCAAGUCGAGCGCGAAAGUUCUUCGGAAUGAGUAGAGCGGCGGACGGGUGAGUAAUGCAUAGGAAUCUGCCCAGUAGUGAGGGAUAGCCCGGGGAAACCCGGAUUAAUACCGCAUACGUCCUACGGGAGAAAGCAGGGGAUCUUCGGACCUUGCGCUAUUGGAUGAGCCUAUGUCGGAUUAGCUUGUUGGUGGGGUAACGGCCCACCAAGGCGACGAUCCGUAGCUGGUCUGAGAGGAUGAUCAGCCACACUGGAACUGAGACACGGUCCAGACUCCUACGGGAGGCAGCAGUGGGGAAUAUUGCACAAUGGGGGAAACCCUGAUGCAGCCACGCCGCGUGUGUGAAGAAGGCCUUCGGGUUGUAAAGCACUUUCAGUAGGGAGGAAGGCCCUAAAGUUAAUACCUUUGGGGAUUGACGUUACCUACAGAAGAAGCACCGGCUAACUCCGUG
Molecule: ribosomal RNA, 481 nt
Filed under: uncultured bacterium
Lineage: Bacteria
Description: bacterial SSU rRNA
Rfam family: Bacterial small subunit ribosomal RNA
Source: RNAcentral